AGAGUUUGAUCAUGGCUCAGGAUGAACGUUGGCGGUGUGCCUAAUACAUGCAAGUCGAACGGAGCUAAUAGCAAUAUUGGCUCAGUGGCGAACGGGUGAGUAACGCGUUGGUGAUCUGCCUUGAAGUGUGGAAUAACGUUUCGAAAGGAACGCUAAUACCGCAUGUGCUCUCGAUUUUCAGAAAGUUGAGAGUAAAGGAUUUAUUCGCUUCAAGAGGAGCCUGCGUCCCAUCAGCUGGUUGGUAGGGUAACGGCCUACCAAGGCUAUGACGGGUAGGGGACCUGAGAGGGUGGCCCCCCACAAUGGAACUGAAACACGGUCCAUACACCUACGGGUGGCAGCAGUAGGGAAUAUUAGAAAUGGACGAAAGUCUGAUCUAGCAACACCGCGUGUGCGAAGAAGGCCUUCGGGUCGUAAAGCACUUUUUGGAAGGAAUAGGAAGGAAUGUACUUCCAGAAUAAGUCUCGGCUAACUACGUGCCAGCAGCCGCGGUAACACGUAGGAGGCAAACGUUAUCCGGAUUUACUGGGCGUAAAGCGCGUGUAGGUGGUACUGUAAGUAGGGCGUGAAAGCUCCUGGCUCAACUGGGAGAGGCCGUUCUAAACUACAGAACUAGAGGAUGGUAGAGGGAGGUGGAAUUCCAGGUGUAGCGGUGGAAUGCGCAGAUAUCUGGAGGAACACCGGUGGCGAAGGCGGCCUCCUG
Molecule: ribosomal RNA, 703 nt
Filed under: uncultured bacterium
Lineage: Bacteria
Description: bacterial SSU rRNA
Rfam family: Bacterial small subunit ribosomal RNA
Source: RNAcentral